UUUUUUUUUUUUUUUUAUAAUUAGAAUAAAUAGAUGGUUUUAAUUAAUUUGGAGUAACGUUUAUGAUUUGAAUGAAGAAAAUGAGAAACUGACAUUUACAAUGGCAUUGGGUUUGUGGUUGUGUGUACUCAAACGUUGCGUCUACUCUCUCCGUCAAGGCAUUGAGGCCAAUUAUUCACUAAUUCAUUGUAAUCUAUUUGGAAAAAAAAUAUCAGUGUGGGUUGGGAUCUAGUAAUUCACCUCAAUGCACUCUUAAUUGGAUGGAUGAAAAAAAACUAGUAAUUAUUUGGAUAUAAAGGAACUUGUGAGUAACAAGUUAUAAAUUCGAAAUGGAUCCGGGUGACUGUUGAUUAUAUACUUUGCUCUUACGGUAUACUUUCAGCACAUCUAAUUUAUGUUAUAUGAUAAUAAAUUUAAGAGUAAGAGCAACUCAUGCACCGAGUAUAUUUAAUGAAUAAAUAAAGUAAAUACACAAUAUCAAAUUAAACAGUCAAACUUGAGAGUCAAUUUACGUAAAUUAAGAUUUAUAGGAAGAGAAAUUGUAAACUCUGGCUUUUACAGAGCCUCAGCUACCCAUGUGUAGCUACAUCCUCUCCUCAAAUUAAUCACUUGAAUAUUUUCACUAUCUUCUCAAAUUCUACCAACUUCUUAUUUUCACCUCUUACAAAUGCUAGUUUAAGCUACAACGUGGUUUCUAUAGCUUUUAUUAUAAAUCCAAGAAUAUAAAAGUUCAAUUUUUUUUCCUCAGAAUGAUAAAAAAAAAAAAAAUACAAGACGAAAAUUCAAGAAACUAAAAAUGAGUUUUCAAAAUUUGACUUAACAAGUAUUUGAUUUCAAGAGUUUUGCUCACAAUAAUUCUUUCAAAAUAAAGAAGGGUUUUCAAAAAUCUUAAUUAAUCAUUUUCUUAUUUCAGAACUUAAAAUCCUAAUUCCUACUCCAUUUGUUUUGCACUUACAUAAUAAAUAUUAUACUUAUAUAUUUUUCCAAAAACACACGCAUGAUUAAAUUAAAUAUGUUACACGCAUAAUAGCAAUGUAUACCAAGUCUUACACAUAUAUACACACACACACACACACACACACACAUUCCUUGCACUUGUACACACGCAGCUCACGCUUACGCACAUGCUGAUACACACGCCCACAUUCGUUUUAUACAUAUAUAUAUAUAUAUACAGAGUACACAACAUACGGAUUUAGUUAAUCAUAAUUAUACACUCGCAUAUAUAUAUAUAUAUAUAUAUAUAUGCAUACACACACCUACACAUACGUACACCAUUUAAAUAUAUAAACACAAUUACAUAACAACAUAGAUAUAUUUAUGCACAUGCACUUAUAUGCACAAUUUAUGUAUGUAUUAAUAUACACUCACACACCCAUAUUUACAUACACACACACACUAAAUAGUGUAUAUUAUACAUAUAUAUUAUAUAUACACGGACAUAGAGAUUACUCAUGAUUAUACAUAAACCAUUAUCCAUCUAUAUUUACUCACACAAACACACAUUUUAUAUACGUAUAUCUACACAUACACUAAUAGUAUGUCUUCGUACAAAAUUAACCUAAAUCUUACCUAAAGUUGAUCGAAAAAGGUGUAAUGGGUUCGAAUCUUAGUCCUCACUAAAUCGCAGCUACUGCUCAAAUAUUUUACUUGUUUACAAAUAGAAAAUAGAUGCGUUAAACUAUAAAUAUUCUUAUAAAUAAACAUAAUACGAAAGACGAAUUGAUUUUUACCUUGGACACGUGGUCCCCGUUGCUGGAGUCACCAUGUAC
RNAcentral lists this long non-coding RNA (1772 nucleotides) under Carica papaya (papaya). RNAcentral's name for it is "long non-coding RNA (CPAP_LNC014198)". Lineage: Eukaryota; Viridiplantae; Streptophyta; Magnoliopsida; Brassicales; Caricaceae. The record is from RNAcentral.